Molecule: ribosomal RNA, 425 nt
Filed under: uncultured bacterium
Lineage: Bacteria
Description: partial 16S ribosomal RNA
Rfam family: Bacterial small subunit ribosomal RNA
Source: RNAcentral
GUGGGGAAUCUUGCGCAAUGGGCGAAAGCCUGACGCAGCCAUGCCGCGUGAAUGAUGAAGGUCUUAGGAUUGUAAAAUUCUUUCACCGGGGACGAUAAUGACGGUACCCGGAGAAGAAGCUCCGGCUAACUUCGUGCCAGCAGCCGCGGUAAUACGACGGGGGCUAGCGUUGCUCGGAAUUACUGGGCGUAAAGGGCGCGUAGGCGGACAGCUUAGUCAGAGGUGAAAGCCCAGGGCUCAACCUUGGAAUUGCCUUUGAUACUGGCUGUCUUGAGUUUGGGAGAGGUGAGUGGAACUCCGAGUGUAGAGGUGAAAUUCGUAGAUAUUCGGAAGAACACCAGUGGCGAAGGCGACUCACUGGCCCAAUACUGACGCUGAGGCGCGAAAGCGUGGGGAGCAAACAGGAUUAGAUACCCCAGUAGUCC